GUCCCUGUAGCGCAAUGGAUAGCGCGUUGGACUUCUAAUCCAAAGGCCGUGGCCGUGGGUUCGAAUCCCACCUGGGAUG
This is a non-coding RNA of Trichonephila inaurata madagascariensis, 79 nucleotides long. The record is from the annotation of a GenBank genome assembly. Lineage: Eukaryota; Metazoa; Arthropoda; Arachnida; Araneae; Nephilidae.